GGGGAUGUAGCUCAGCUGGCUAGAGCGUCUGCAUGGCAUGCAGAAGGUCAGGGGUUCAAGUCCCCUCAUCUCCACCA
Molecule: transfer RNA, 77 nt
Filed under: Candidatus Peribacteria bacterium
Lineage: Bacteria; Candidatus Peregrinibacteriota; Candidatus Peribacteria
Also listed under: 1 other name
Description: tRNA-Ala
Rfam family: tRNA
About the family: Transfer RNA (tRNA) molecules are approximately 80 nucleotides in length. Their secondary structure includes four short double-helical elements and three loops (D, anti-codon, and T loops).
Source: RNAcentral